Molecule: long non-coding RNA, 1476 nt
Organism: Siniperca chuatsi (mandarin fish)
Lineage: Eukaryota; Metazoa; Chordata; Actinopteri; Centrarchiformes; Sinipercidae
Exons: 2
Source: RefSeq, a predicted model, not a curated record
AUGAGACAAAAAGUGACCACACGUUAGAUUUACUGUAAAUAUGUCAGGGUUUACCCGUCACUCUAAUCCAGACUUCAGAGGUCCCUGGGAGAAUUAUGUGUUAUCGCCUUCAUAGUCCCAUUUCAACCCAUCUGAACACCUCUGGUUUUCAGACCUGCGAACCCAAGUCUGGUUGAAUCGGAUUCUGGUUUGUUUUCCCUCUUGGUGCAGUUGGGCAGAUCUGAACACAGCAAUCGUACUCGAGUGCGGACCAAAAGAACGGCACGAGACCCUUCAAAGGAAGUGGGUCUUGGUCCGGUCACGAACAAAUUCUGGAGCGGUUUGUUUUUGGCGAGAACAUGAUUCGCACCCGACUACGGGGCGUUCUCUGCAUGUUUUGAGAAACAGAAGUGUCGCUCGGAAAUCUUGCGAGAGGUGAGUUGUUGCAGGAAGACGACGGUGGAAACGUGAGUGGGUAAGUCAUCUUACUCUUUCACAAAAAGGUGCAUCUCUGUUAUUUCCAUAAUGUUGUCAGACCCUUAGAAUAACAAUCUGAGCCUCUCGGUGGCAAAAACAAGCACAUUUAGUGAUGUACUUUUGACACAUGCAAUUGCCCACAAGGUUUACGUUGUAGCCAUCGCAGCCUGAUUCGCGGCUGCCGGCUGAGGCGAUCUACUGGACCAAUUCCAAAACUUGCGGUGUGCUUUGCACAUUAAGUGCAGAUAAGGGAAAUCCACAGUUAGCCAGAGAAUGAAUCGAGGACUUUGACUAGAAACAAAGUACGAUGCCUUCUUUCUUACUGUGCUGACGACACAUCUAACCAAUGAGCGGAGUGAUAUCUCUCUCCUGCUCUCUCGUGGCUUUAGUGAUGCAUUGUGGGUUGCUUGAUUUUUUUUUUUCUGUGUGAAAAGAAACCGAACUAAUGGGAAAACACAACAAGUUUACCACAUCAUCCACUCAUUCAGACCAGAAGAAACAAACAAUAGGUUUGAAAACGCCCUUAGACAGCGCUCUCCAUCACCAUCAUGAAAAGAACAAAUGAGGGAAUGUCUUUCGUAAGAAUGACGUUCAUCCAUCAAGUAGAGUUUAGAGAAUUAAUGACAAGAAGCACUGAAGCUGUUCCACGCUCUAUUGCUGACAUGAUAAUACAUCAGUAAUGUAGCGCUCUAGAUCAGGGCUAUUCAAUUGGGCCAGAUUAUAAAACCAGGAAACUUAGAUGGCACUUGCCAGUCCAGGCAGGGUUAACCCUCCGAGGCUGCUUCUGGGCCGGUUGUGGCCCGCGGGCCGCCAAUUGAAUAGGCCUGAUCUAGAAGGAACAAUUCUCUAAAACGAGUACUGUUGCUUUCGAACCAAACUAUCUUUUAACUGCUAAGACUUUUUUACUUUCACUUGGAAUUAAGUGUUUUUUCAUUUGGGUGUUGCUACAUCUACAUGAGAAAAAGGAUUUUAAUCAUUUUUCCACCACUGGCUCCUUUUUUUUUUUUUUUUUUUUUUUUU